Molecule: ribosomal RNA, 301 nt
Filed under: uncultured bacterium
Lineage: Bacteria
Description: partial 16S ribosomal RNA
Rfam family: Bacterial small subunit ribosomal RNA
Source: RNAcentral
CAGCCGCCGCGGUAAUACGGAGGGGGCUAGCGUUGUUCGGAAUUACUGGGCGUAAAGGGUGCGUAGGCGGUUGUUUAAGUCUGUUGUGAAAUCCCCGGGCUCAACCUGGGAAUGGCAAUGGAAACUGGACGGCUAGAGUGUGUCAGAGGAUGGUGGAAUUCCCGGUGUAGCGGUGAAAUGCGUAGAGAUCGGGAGGAACAUCAGUGGCGAAGGCGGCCAUCUGGGACAACACUGACGCUGAAGCACGAAAGCGUGGGGAGCAAACAGGAUUAGAUACCCCCGUAGUCCCUGUCUCUUAUAC